RNAcentral lists this long non-coding RNA (967 nucleotides) under Camarhynchus parvulus. RNAcentral describes it as "lncRNA (ENSCPVG00000016949.1)". Lineage: Eukaryota; Metazoa; Chordata; Aves; Passeriformes; Thraupidae. The record is from RNAcentral.
UGGAAAUGUCUCUGUAUUCUGUGGGAAUUCCCCUGAAUUUGUAUAGCCUUAAGAUCCAUGGGGAGGAGCAUUUUUGAGGAGUGUUUUCUUUACCAAACUUCAUUUCUGUGUGUUUUUUUGUCCCUUUAUUAGGUUCUUCACUGUAGGGGUUUUCAUACCAUCACUGUGCAAUUCAGAAAUGGCUGUGGGUUUCAAUAUGGAAACAUUAAUGCCCAGUUUUGGUUCUUCCAGGUGGAAUAUUUUACAAUGCUGCUGUGCAUGACAUAGAUAUUAUCAGUUUGCUGUUGGGAGAGAGUGUGCCAGAUACAAUAUUUUCCCUGGGCCAUGCCUUCUGUGCAGACAUGGGCUGCCUGAGGGAUGUGGACAUGGUCACCAUCAGCAUGAAGUUCCCCAGUGGAGCCAUUGUCACCCUGGACAUCAGCCAGCACUGCACCAGGAGCUGUGACCAGCGGCUGGAGGUUCACGGGUCUCAAGGGACGUUAAGGGUGGACAACCAGAACCCCCUGGGCAUCACAGAGCAUGGGACUUCUGUGUCCAUCUGUCCCCAGACCCAAGCUGAGCGCUACAGAGAUGCAUACAGGGAGCUCUUCCGGCACUUCCUGAGGACCCUGAAAGGUGGGACAAGGCUUAAAUUGAUGGCUGGUGUUGCUUUGGGUUGGCUUUGUUGGGGGAGGCACCAUGUCAGGUCAUGGAGAUGGGUGGGGAAUGAUGAUCUGAAACUCUGUGCUGGGAAGAAAUGAGAGUUGGGAGUAGAAAUUACCUUGGACCUUACUGUCCUUUGUGAUGAAAGCAGCUGUUUGUGACAGCCAAGCUAUCCUCAGCCAGAGUCCUGGCUGCCCAGAAGGGAUAAAAAUCACAGAAUCAUGGAGUGGCCUGGGUACAGUGAGGCUUUGAAGACCAUCUAGUCCACACUAUCCUCAGCCAGAGUCCUGGCUGCCCAGAAGGAAUAAAAAUCACAGAAUCAUGG